This 270-nucleotide ribosomal RNA is filed under the name uncultured microorganism. RNAcentral describes it as "partial 16S ribosomal RNA". It matches the Rfam family "Archaeal small subunit ribosomal RNA", at positions 330 to 602 of the family's 1478-position model. The record is from RNAcentral.
GUGCACCAGGCAAGAAACUGGCCAAUGCGCGAAAGCGUGAGCCGGCUAAUCUGAGUGGUUCCCCAUCGGGAACCUUUUGCCAAGUGUACAAAGCUUGGCGAAUAAGGAGAGGGCAAGGCUGGUGCCAGCCGCCGCGGUAAAACCAGCUCUUCGAAUCGUGGGCAUGAUUAUUUGGCUUAAAGUGUGCGUAGCAGGACAGGAUAAGUCUCCUGUGAAAUGCCAGGUCUUAAGCCUGGCGCGUGCGGGAGAUACUAUCCGUCUUGGGACCGG